Molecule: transfer RNA, 87 nt
Filed under: Asanoa ishikariensis
Lineage: Bacteria; Bacillati; Actinomycetota; Actinomycetes; Micromonosporales; Micromonosporaceae
Description: tRNA-Ser
Rfam family: tRNA
About the family: Transfer RNA (tRNA) molecules are approximately 80 nucleotides in length.
Source: RNAcentral
GGAGAGUCCGCCCUAGGUGAGGCAAGCGGGUUGCUAACCCGUCGCGGGGAAACUCGUGGGCCGGUUCGACUCCGGCACUCUCCGCCA